UACAGGGGGGGCAAGCGUUGUUCGGAAUUACUGGGCGUAAAGGGCUCGUAGGCGGCCAACUAAGUCAGACGUGAAAUCCCCAGGCUUAACCUGGGAACUGCGUCUGAUACUGGAUGGCUUGAGAUUGGGAGAGGGAUGCGGAAUUCCAGGUGUAGCGGUGAAAUGCGUAGAUAUCUGGAGGAACACCGGUGGCGAAGGCGACAUCCUGGACCAACACUGACGCUGAGGAGCGAAAGCCAGGGGAGCAAACGGG
This 253-nucleotide ribosomal RNA is filed under the name uncultured bacterium. Its description in RNAcentral is "partial 16S ribosomal RNA". It matches the Rfam family "Bacterial small subunit ribosomal RNA", at positions 524 to 776 of the family's 1533-position model. The record is from RNAcentral.